Bison bison bison is the source of this 128-nucleotide ribosomal RNA. The record is from Ensembl. Lineage: Eukaryota; Metazoa; Chordata; Mammalia; Artiodactyla; Bovidae.
AUCCACGGCCAUGCCUCCCUGAAGGCGCCCCAUCUGCCCUGAUCUCGGAAGCACACAGGGUCGGGCCCGGUUCGUACCCGGAUGGGAGGAAGUGGGCUAAUAUGCCUGAGGGCUGCUUGCUGUGUGGU